AGUUUGUGUGGAAGGUGAGGUGGAGGAAGUAGUUAUAGUGGUUGAGAGUGUGGGGGGUGGUUGAGGUAAUGAUGAGGAAAGUUGUCUAGAACCAGAAGAAAUUGGGGCUUAUAAGAUAAGGGACUUACUUGGUGUUGAAGAGCUCAGAGGCAUAAGCUGCUUCUGAUUUGCUGAAGACUCUCCCACCUUGAGACUCUUCUUGUUCUUCUUCUUCUGAGAUAGUUCACUUUUUCUCUUCAGGAAGUUGGGGGGUUGAUCCGGGAGCCAGUCCAAGCUAAAACCUACGAUAUCAAUACCUCGGGAUUCCAG
This 309-nucleotide long non-coding RNA is filed under the name Lathyrus oleraceus (garden pea). Its description in RNAcentral is "Pisum sativum (pea) long non-coding RNA (PSAT_LNC014470)". The record is from RNAcentral. Lineage: Eukaryota; Viridiplantae; Streptophyta; Magnoliopsida; Fabales; Fabaceae.